Molecule: long non-coding RNA, 1110 nt
Organism: Perca flavescens (yellow perch)
Lineage: Eukaryota; Metazoa; Chordata; Actinopteri; Perciformes; Percidae
Exons: 4
Source: RefSeq, a predicted model, not a curated record
AAUAGGUCGAUAACAACUUCAGACUUUAGAUGUGGAUACAUUUUGGAUGAAUCGUCCAGCCCUAUACUACCAGCUGAGGGAAAGAGUGUUAUUGUCGGCUGUGUUAUCACGGCAGCUGCCCAAUUUCUAGGAGAUUCCUCGUUGGCUCGGAAAGGAAAGGCCUGUCUUUCAGCCUUAAGCCGAGCACUACGUCUGCAUUUAGUGAAGCUCCUCUGAACACUGCUCGUACUGUAUAUGCCUCGUCAGUCUCUCCUUUAACUGCGCAGUGGGGCUCAUGACUCGGUCAUGAUCCUGGCAGCGCUCAAUCUGCGGCAAAGGCACUAAGUGCUCCUGAAGAGCAACCACUUGCUUCCCACAAAAGGAGAAAGACGGCGCUCUGGGACAGGCAGUUUAGUGACUAGCAGAGCAUGAAAUAUUCACAAAGAAAAGAUAUGAAGGGUAGUGGGGAAAAGAGGUAACUCUGCCACAGCUUGUGUUGCUGAUGUACGCCAGGCCUGGAUGCCUCGAGGCGAAGAGGUUCUUGUGCAGAAUAACAGAAAAAAGUACAGAGGAAGUAGAAGUAUACAGGGAUUAUCAGCUGAUGAGGCCAACUGCGGGGGCCCCGUAUCGGAGAUGAGAGCGGUGCGUUCAGUGGAAGGGACGGAGGACGGAUCAAUAACCUGAGGGAACAGAGUGAAGAAGAGGGGGAGAAGAAACAAAGAAGAGCACUGUCUAUGAACAGUAGGUCAACGUCUUGAAUGGUCACGUGGCUGCUCGUUCACUUGGCUCUCCCAGCUCACCCAGGAAAUGAGAGACGGGGUCGGGAGGGCAACAAAUGAAGGCAUUAGGACUAUAGAUGAAAAGAGGGUGGUGAAAACCGUGCAACACAUCACCGGUUCUCCACUUUCUGCAACCCAGGCUGUCCAACACAAGCGGAGGGCGCCAGCAUCGCCAGGAACUCCACUAGCCCCGGCCACAGACUAUUUGCUCUCAUUGACUACCAGAGCACACUUACUGCACUAUUUACUUACUAUUAGCAUGACUGUAAUUUCACAAAAAGUCAUAGUAUAGAAUAUCAUUAAAAUGUCACUAAAAAGUUGUAGUACGUUGUAAAAAAAAAACAAAAAAAAC